GCUGAAGGAAACCAGAGCCUCCAGGUUUCACCAAUAGAAAGGCAAUAUGCAAAUAUAGCCCCUCGUUAAUUGGCUGAGAGACAGAUGCGUACCAUUCAUUCAUGGGCUCGGUGCUUGGAGCUUUAUCGCUGCUUGGAGGUAGAGGUUACGCAUGAAAGCAAUUAUUGAGCUCCCACCUUGUGCUGAGUCCUGUGUCCGGGGAUAUAGGGGUGAGGAAGAGAGGCAAGGCACCGCCCUCGUGGAACUUGCAUUCUAGUAGGCUAAUAAACACGCAAAUGAACAAUAUACUUUCAAAUCGGGGUAGUGCAGCGAAGACAAUGCACCAGGGAGCUGUGAGGCGGCACCGUGACCAGCCCUGUGUGGGAAUGUCCUAAGUGCUGCCGAGGAGGCGGGACCAGUUAUCCUGGUGGUGGAGUGACGGGAGUGAAAGUGCUGCCUCAUAUGGUGAUUCCACAUUUGGCUUUUUGAGGAACUGUCAAACUGUUUUCCAUGAUGGCUGCACUAUUUGACAUUCUCACCAGCAACGUCUGAGGGUGGAAACCUUGAUUCUUAAAACCAAACAGGUGUCAGCUGCUUGCCAGGAAAUGGGCAGACUCUGGUGAACUGAUGCGCACGGUGCCCAGAUGCCAAGGGUCUCAACGAAUGCCGACUAAUGGAUGAGCAUAAUGCCAAGCACAGCCCUGCGGACAGAUGGACGGACUUGGGCUCCCUGCCUUCAACCCGUGGGAAUCCCUGGAAGCCUGAUGUCGGGGGAGAGGGUUUCACCUCACUUUCUCCUGAUUGUCCAGAAUGCUCUUUCCGGAGCCCUGUGUUCAGCCCCUGGAGGUCAUUGGGGUGUAGGAGGCAGCUGAUCCCACCCUGCUUCUGCUACUACAGGACCUGGCAAGUCACUCCACCUCUCUGAGCUUCAGUGUCCUCAUCUGUUCAAUGGGUAUAAUAACACUUGGCGGAUAGGUAAAGAUCAAAUGAAGCAGUAUGCAAAGCACCUGGGAUCCGACAAACACCAAAUGGAUGUCUGCUCUGUUUUUGUUUUUUUUUUCUGGUCAUCAUGCAUUAAGAAGGAGGGUGUGUGUGAUGUUGAAUUUAUUAACCAAUG
Molecule: long non-coding RNA, 1096 nt
Filed under: Equus asinus (donkey)
Lineage: Eukaryota; Metazoa; Chordata; Mammalia; Perissodactyla; Equidae
Description: lncRNA (ENSEASG00005031285.1)
Source: RNAcentral